RNAcentral lists this ribosomal RNA (308 nucleotides) under uncultured bacterium. RNAcentral describes it as "partial 16S ribosomal RNA". It matches the Rfam family "Bacterial small subunit ribosomal RNA", at positions 505 to 808 of the family's 1533-position model. The record is from RNAcentral.
GAGACAGCAGUCGCCGCGGUAAUACGUAUGUCACAAGCGUUAUCCGGAUUUAUUGGGCGUAAAGCGCGUCUAGGUGGUUAUGUAAGUCUGAUGUGAAAAUGCAGGGCUCAACUCUGUAUUGCGUUGGAAACUGUGUAACUAGAGUACUGGAGAGGUAAGCGGAACUACAAGUGUAGAGGUGAAAUUCGUAGAUAUUUGUAGGAAUGCCGAUGGGGAAGCCAGCUUACUGGACAGAUACUGACGCUAAAGCGCGAAAGCGUGGGUAGCAAACAGGAUUAGAGACCCCAGUAGUCCCUGUCUCUUAUACA